This 230-nucleotide ribosomal RNA is filed under the name uncultured bacterium. RNAcentral describes it as "partial 16S ribosomal RNA". It matches the Rfam family "Bacterial small subunit ribosomal RNA", at positions 118 to 348 of the family's 1533-position model. The record is from RNAcentral.
UGGGUAACCUGCCCUGUACACACGGAUAACAUACCGAAAGGUAUGCUAAUACGAGAUAAUAUGCUUUUAUCGCAUGGUAGAAGUAUCAAAGCUUUUGCGGUACAGGAUGGACCCGCGUCUGAUUAGCUAGUUGGUGAGGUAACGGCUCACCAAGGCGACGAUCAGUAGCCGACCUGAGAGGGUGAUCGGCCACAUUGGAACUGAGACACGGUCCAAACUCCUACGGGAUG